UAGGGAAUAUUGCACAAUGGGGGAAACCCUGAUGCAGCAACGCCGCGUGAGUGAAGAAGGCCCUUGGGUUGUAAAGCUCUUUAGCUAGGGAAGAGGCUUCGUAUGGCUAAUAUCCAUGCGGGGUGACGGUACCUAGAGAAUAAGCACCGGCUAAUCUCGUGCCAGCAGCCGCGGUAAUACGAGAGGUGCAAGCGUUACUCGGAAUCACUGGGCGUAAAGCGCACGUAGGCGGAUUCGAAAGUCAAUUGUGAAAGCCCUGAGCUCAACUUGGGAACUGCAGUUGAAACUUCGUUUCUUGAAUAUCUGAGAGGGUGGGGGAAUACCUAGUGGAGAAGUGAAAUUCGUAGAGAUUAGGUGGAACACCAGAGGCGAAGGCGCCUGCCUGGCAGUAUAUUGACGC
This 400-nucleotide ribosomal RNA is filed under the name uncultured bacterium. RNAcentral describes it as "bacterial SSU rRNA". It matches the Rfam family "Bacterial small subunit ribosomal RNA", at positions 355 to 746 of the family's 1533-position model. The record is from RNAcentral.